Molecule: unclassified non-coding RNA, 222 nt
Filed under: uncultured Nocardiaceae bacterium
Lineage: Bacteria; Bacillati; Actinomycetota; Actinomycetes; Mycobacteriales; Nocardiaceae
Description: contains 16S-23S intergenic spacer region
Source: RNAcentral
UCCGAGUUGACCCCGGCAGUCUCCUGCGAGUCCCCGCCAUUACGCGCUGGCAACACAGGACAAGGGUUGCGCUCGUUGCGGGACUUAACCCAACAUCUCACGACACGAGCUGACGACAGCCAUGCACCACCUGUAUACCGACCACAAGGGGGGCCGUAUCUCUACGGCUUUCCGGUAUAUGUCAAACCCAGGUAAGGUGGGGAUGACGUGGAACGGUUGGUU